CGUGUAGGCGGGUAACGCAAGUCAGAUGUGAAAUACCGGGGCUCAACUCCGGAACUGCAUCUGAAACUGCAUAUCUUGAGUACUGGAGAGGAAAGUGGAAUUCCUAGUGUAGCGGUGAAAUGCGUAGAUAUUAGGAGGAACACCAGUGGCGAAGGCGGCUUUCUGGACAGUAACUGACGCUGAGGCGCGAAAGCGUGGGGAGCAAACA
Molecule: ribosomal RNA, 208 nt
Filed under: uncultured Eubacteriales bacterium
Lineage: Bacteria; Bacillati; Bacillota; Clostridia; Eubacteriales
Description: uncultured Clostridiales bacterium partial 16S ribosomal RNA
Rfam family: Bacterial small subunit ribosomal RNA
Source: RNAcentral